GAUGAACGCUAGCUACAGGCUUAACACAUGCAAGUCGAGGGGAAACGACAUCGAAAGCUUGCUUUUGAUGGGCGUCGACCGGCGCACGGGUGAGUAACGCGUAUCCAACUGUGACGAAAGGCUUUGCGGUGAUGGAUGGGGAUGCGUCCGAUUAGCUUGACGGCGGGUAACGGCCCACCGUGGCUACGAUCGGUAGGGGUUCUGAGAGGAAGGUCCCCCACAUUGGAACUGAGACACGGUCCAAACUCCUACGGGAGGCAGCAGUGAGGAAUAUUGGUCAAUGGGCGAGAGCCUGAACCAGCCAAGUAGCGUGCAGGAUGACGGCCCUAUGGGUUGUAAACUGCUUUUAUAAGGGAAUAAAGUGGGUCUCGUGAGACUUUUUGCAUGUACCUUAUGAAUAAGGACCGGCUAAUUCCGUG
Molecule: ribosomal RNA, 419 nt
Filed under: uncultured bacterium
Lineage: Bacteria
Description: bacterial SSU rRNA
Rfam family: Bacterial small subunit ribosomal RNA
Source: RNAcentral